GCUUGUCUCAAAGAUUAAGCCAUGCAUGUCUAAGUAUAAAUAAAUCAUACUGUGAAACUGCGAAUGGCUCAUUAUAUCAGUUAUAGUUUAUUUGAUAGUCCCUUACUACUUGGAUAACCGUAGUAACUCUAGAGCUAAUACAUGCGCAAAUUCCCGACUGCCGCAAGGCGGAAAGGAUGUAUUUAUUAGAUCCAACCAGCCCGGUUCGCCGGAGUCCCUGGUGAGUCAUAAUAACUGAGCGAAUCGCAUGGCCUUGCGCCGGCGAUGGUUCAUUCAAGUUUCUGCCCUAUCAACUUUCGAUGGUAAGGUAUUGGCCUACCAUGGUUACCACGGGUAACGGGGAAUUAGGGUUCGGUUCCGGAGAGGGCGCCUGAGAAAUGGCGACCACAUCCAAGGAAGGCAGCAGG
RNAcentral lists this ribosomal RNA (407 nucleotides) under uncultured Bicosoecida. Its description in RNAcentral is "partial small subunit ribosomal RNA". It matches the Rfam family "Eukaryotic small subunit ribosomal RNA", at positions 30 to 432 of the family's 1831-position model. The record is from RNAcentral. Lineage: Eukaryota; Bigyra; Bicosoecida.